Molecule: ribosomal RNA, 990 nt
Filed under: Halobacterium sp. IARI-SNS3
Lineage: Archaea; Methanobacteriati; Methanobacteriota; Halobacteria; Halobacteriales; Halobacteriaceae
Description: bacterial SSU rRNA
Rfam family: Archaeal small subunit ribosomal RNA
Source: RNAcentral
UUUUAUUCCCGGGUUGAUCCUGCCGGAGGCCAUUGCUAUCGGAGUCCGAUUUAGCCAAGCUAGUUGUGCGGGUUUAGACCCGCAGCGGAAAGCUCAGUAACACGUGGCCAAGCUACCCUGUGGACGGGAAUACUCUCGGGAAACUGAGGCUAAUCCCCGAUAACGCUUUGCUCCUGGAAGGGGCAAAGCCGGAAACGCUCCGGCGCCACAGGAUGCGGCUGCGGUCGAUUAGGUAGACGGUGGGGUAACGGCCCACCGUGCCCAUAAUCGGUACGGGUUGUGAGAGCAAGAGCCCGGAGACGGAAUCUGAGACAAGAUUCCGGGCCCUUACGGGGCGCACCAGGCGCGAAACCUUUACACUGUACGAAAGUGCGAUAAGGGGACUCCGAGUGUGAAGGCAUAGAGNCUUCACUUUUGUACACCGUAAGGUGGUGCACGAAUAAGGACUGGCCAAGAACGGUGCCAGCCGCCGCGGUAAUACCGGCAGUCCGAGUGAUGGCCGAUCUUAUUGGCCUAAAAGCGUCCGUAGCUGGCUGAACAAGUCCGUUGGGAAAUCUGUCCGCUUAACGGGCAGGCGUCCAGCGGAAACUGUUCAGCUUGGGACCGGAAGACCUGAGGGGUACGUCUGGGGUAGGAGUGAAAUCCUGUAAUCCUGGACGGACCGCCGGUGGCGAAAGCGCCUCAGGAGAACGGAUCCGACAGUGAGGGACGAAAGCUAGGGUCUCGAACCGGAUUAGAUACCCGGGUAGUCCUAGCUGUAAACGAUGUCCGCUAGGUGUGGCGCAGGCUACGAGCCUGCGCUGUGCCGUAGGGAAGCCGAGAAGCGGACCGCCUGGGAAGUACGUCUGCAAGGAUGAAACUUAAAGGAAUUGGCGGGGGAGCACUACAACCGGAGGAGCCUGCGGUUUAAUUGGACUCAACGCCGGACAUCUCACCAGCCCCGACAGUAGUAAUGACGGUCAGGUUGAUGACCUUACCCGAGGCUACUGA